AGAGUUUGAUCCUGGCUUAGGAUGAACGCUAGCUACAGGCUUAACACAUGCAAGUCGAGGGGCAGCAUUGGAGUAGCAAUGCUUCAGAUGGCGACCGGCGCACGGGUGAGUAACACGUAUCCAACCUGCCGCUUACUCGGGGAUAGCCUUUCGAAAGAAAGAUUAAUACCCGAUGGUAUAAAGAGUUCGCAUGUUCUCUUUAUUAAAGAAUUUCGGUAAGCGAUGGGGAUGCGUUCCAUUAGAUAGUUGGCGGGGUAACGGCCCACCAAGUCUACGAUGGAUAGGGGUUCUGAGAGGAAGGUCCCCCACAUUGGAACUGAGACACGGUCCAAACUCCUACGGGAGGCAGCAGUGAGGAAUAUUGGUCAAUGGACGAGAGUCUGAACCAGCCAAAGUAGCGUGAAGGAUGACUGCCCUAUGGGUUGUAAACUUCUUUUAUAAGGGAAUAAAGUGAGGGACGUGUCCCUUUUUGUAUGUACCUUAUGAAUAAGGAUCGGCUAACUCCGUGCCAGCCGCCGC
This 519-nucleotide ribosomal RNA is filed under the name uncultured bacterium. RNAcentral describes it as "bacterial SSU rRNA". It matches the Rfam family "Bacterial small subunit ribosomal RNA", at positions 8 to 518 of the family's 1533-position model. The record is from RNAcentral.